UUGCACUGUUCGUAACCUUUUGACAGCAUUUUUCUGCAAAUAGGUUCCAUUCCAGUGCUACAUUAAAUCCAGUAAUGGAAGGCUGACAAACUCCAUGUCCCUUCUUGUAUUUGGAGACAAAG
Small nucleolar RNA from Lonchura striata (white-rumped munia), 122 nucleotides. The record is from Ensembl. Lineage: Eukaryota; Metazoa; Chordata; Aves; Passeriformes; Estrildidae.